Molecule: transfer RNA, 73 nt
Filed under: Anaerolineaceae bacterium
Lineage: Bacteria; Bacillati; Chloroflexota; Anaerolineae; Anaerolineales; Anaerolineaceae
Description: tRNA-Phe
Rfam family: tRNA
About the family: Transfer RNA (tRNA) molecules are approximately 80 nucleotides in length.
Source: RNAcentral
GCCGCGGUAGCUCAGUUGGUAGAGCAACGCACUGAAAAUGCGUGGGUCGCCGGUUCGAGUCCGGCCUGCGGCA